GCCCUGUGGUGGCUGCAGUGCCAUGGAGAGGCUGCCAUCCUCUGAGGGCCUAGGCCCUGGGCUGACCUUUGGGAAGCUAGGCAAAAUGGUGGUGGAGCUGCUGCCCCCUGACCUGAGUCCACACCUCACCUUCUGCCAUCUCCAAAACAAGACACUGGUGUGUCCAUCUCUCAUUAGCUUAUUGUGAUCCCGCGUUAAGCAAGGGACAUGCAUUCCAAGACCCCCAGUGGAUGCCUGAAACCUCAUAUAAUAUUGAGCCCUGUCUCAAUGGGCUCUGAAAUGUCCUUCCAUAGAGUCUACAAAAAGAGUGUUUCCAACUUGCUGAAUCAAAAUAAAGAUUUCACCUGGUGAGAUGAAUACACAGAUUGCAAAG
RNAcentral lists this long non-coding RNA (373 nucleotides) under Homo sapiens (human). Its description in RNAcentral is "HSALNT0385591". The record is from RNAcentral. Lineage: Eukaryota; Metazoa; Chordata; Mammalia; Primates; Hominidae.